This 20-nucleotide non-coding RNA is filed under the name Arabidopsis thaliana (thale cress). The record is from RNAcentral. Lineage: Eukaryota; Viridiplantae; Streptophyta; Magnoliopsida; Brassicales; Brassicaceae.
UGAGAGGUCGUUUGUGGGUU